CUGUUUAUCGCACUGCUCUCAGUUGACAAGGUCGUGAAGAAUUCCUGUGUGAAGAGAAACUACAACCUCCACGUCCAAAUUCCCCAGGUUGCAGUGAAAGCACCCGGGCUUGAGAAAGCGAUAAAAGCCCAGCCUGCACAUUUUAUCUUCCCCAGAUCCUCCAAAACAUCUCUUUGAAGGCGCUUUCACUUAGGUGCAAUUCCAUUAAGGACUGCUCAAUUAUCUCAACAGCUUCUCUUAGGGCUCCCUGCCAAUGAGCCUGGGAAGGCAGCAGAAGAUGGCCCAAGUGCUAGGGUUCCUGCACCCAUGUGGAAAACCUGGAAGAAGCUUCUGUCUCCUGAUUUCAGAUCGACCCAGCCCUGGCCAUUGCGGCCAUUUGCAGACUGAACCAGUGGAUGGAAGAACUUGAUCUCUUUCUCUGUGUUGCUCUCUAUAACCCUGCAUUUCAAAUAAAUAUUCUUUUAAAAAUUAAACUAUUAAGUUGUACACAUUAA
This is a long non-coding RNA of Oryctolagus cuniculus (rabbit), 494 nucleotides long. RefSeq lists it as uncharacterized. The record is from RefSeq and is a predicted model, not a curated record. NCBI's taxonomy places the organism in Eukaryota, Metazoa, Chordata, Mammalia, Lagomorpha, Leporidae.